GGGAAUGUGGCUUAGUGGUAGAGUGCUUGCCUAGUAUGCAUGAAGACCUGGGUUCAAUUUCUCAGCACCA
Dipodomys ordii (Ord's kangaroo rat) is the source of this 70-nucleotide non-coding RNA. The record is from Rfam. NCBI's taxonomy places the organism in Eukaryota, Metazoa, Chordata, Mammalia, Rodentia, Heteromyidae.